This 376-nucleotide ribosomal RNA is filed under the name uncultured cyanobacterium. RNAcentral's name for it is "SSU rRNA". It matches the Rfam family "Bacterial small subunit ribosomal RNA", at positions 376 to 767 of the family's 1533-position model. The record is from RNAcentral. Lineage: Bacteria; Bacillati; Cyanobacteriota.
CGCAAGCCUGACGGAGCAACGCCGCGUGAGGGAUGAAGGCCUCUGGGCUGUAAACCUCUUUUAUCAAGGAAGAAGAUCUGACAGUACUUGAUGAAUAAGCCACGGCUAAUUCCGUGCCAGCAGCCGCGGUAAUACGGGAGUGGCAAGCGUUAUCCGGAAUUAUUGGGCGUAAAGCGUCCGCAGGCGGCUCUUCAAGUCUGCUGUUAAAAAGUGGAGCUUAACUCCAUCAUGGCAGUGGAAACUGUUGAGCUUGAGUGUGGUAGGGGCAGAGGGAAUUCCCGGUGUAGCGGUGAAAUGCGUAGAUAUCGGGAAGAACACCAGUGGCGAAGGCGCUUUGCUGGGCCAUUACUGACGCUCAUGGACGAAAGCCAGGGGA